RNA transcript from Brienomyrus brachyistius, 10499 nucleotides. RefSeq lists it as uncharacterized. The record is from RefSeq and is a predicted model, not a curated record. The transcript has 2 exons. NCBI's taxonomy places the organism in Eukaryota, Metazoa, Chordata, Actinopteri, Osteoglossiformes, Mormyridae.
AUGGUACAGAUGGGCAUUAGUGUAGUUGCCACAAACUCUGGCAUGAAAGCAAUCAUAAAUGAGGAAGCCUAUGUUGUGCAAGGAACCGGAGCACCAGACGUGCCCAACCCACACUUAUUGCUCAACUCAUUAACCCCUGAUAAAAGUUACUUCUCAGUAGUUGAUCUCAGUAAUGCAUUUUUCUCAGUACCAUUGCACCCUGAUUCUCAACAUUUAUUUGGUUUCACCUAUAAGGGAAAAAAAUACACAUAUACUAGACUCCCUCAAGGGUUUUCAGAAAGUCCACAUGUAUAUACCAUGGCCCUUAGAUACUCUAUGAGUACCUGUAAAAUACCAUCCCAUAGUCAAGUGCUACUGUAUGUAGAUGAUAUAUUAAUUGCUUCAGAUACAAAACAGCAUUGUAAGGAAGCCACACUGUUGGUGUUACAGCAUUUAUAUGAUACAGGACAUAAAGCAUCAAAACAAAAAUUACAAUAUUGCAGGGAGGAAGUUAUAUAUCUUGGACAUAAACUCUCCCAACAAGGUCGAUCGUUGUUAGAAACUAGAAAACAGGCAAUACAAGAGGCACCAAAGCCAAAGACUAAACAGCAAAUGAUGUCCUUCUUAGGACUUUGUAAUUAUUGCAGAGAAUGGCUACCUGAUUAUGCCGCACUCGUUCAACCUCUGCAAACCUUAAUUUAUGGGAAAGACAUGGCCUUAAAAGAUAAAAUUCAGUGGACAAAAGAAGGAGAAUUGGCAUUCACAAACUUAAAAAUGAUGCUACAAACAAAUGUGAUACUUGCCUUACCAGAUUAUCAACAACCAUUUACCUUAUGUGUUGAUGCUAAUCAAGGUUAUAUGAAAGCGGUAUUAACACAGCCGUUCGGGACAAAGGAAAGAGCACUAGCAUUCUAUUCUAAACGAUUAGAUGCAGUAGCAGCUGGUUUUCCACAAUGUUUGCAAGCAUGUGCAGCUGCUGCAGAAGCAGUAAAAUUAUCAGCAGAAUUAGUGUUGUGUCACCCACUCACCUUGAAGGUGCCACAUUCAGUUUCAUUAGUUUUACUGCAGACACCGCUUCCGUUCCUCACACAUGCUAGACAUCUGACCUUAGUCUCACUCCUGCUUUCACAGUCAAACAUUACUAUACAGCGAUGUGGUCCUCUUAACCCUAGCACCCUUCUUCCGACAACGGAAGAUGGAGAACCACAUUCGUGCAAAGCAGUUGUGGAAGAGCAAACAAAACCCAGAGCAGAUAUUUUACAGACCCCAAUAUCAGAUUCAAUGGUUGUUUAUGUAGAUGGAUCAGCAUCAAAAAAUGAUAUGGAAAAAAAUAAGGUCGGGUAUGCUGUAGUUACAUCUACUGAAGUGUUAGAGGCCAAUGCACUCCCACCUGCUUGUUCAGCACAAGCGGCUGAACUCUAUGCUGUAAUUAGGGCAUGCGAGCUAUUCAAAAAUAAGUCACUUACUAUAUACACUGAUAGUCAAUAUGUGUUUGGAGCUGUUCAUCACCAUGCAAGAGUGUGGAAAAAUAGAGGUUUUAAAACAUCGCAGGGAACGUCUCUAACUCACACAAACUUACUACUUAGAUUAUUAGAUGUUGUACUAUUACCGACUCGCCUUGCACUGUGCAAAUGUAAAGCACACCAAACCGAUGCUUCCACAAUAGCUAAAGGAAACAACUUUGCAGAUAAAACUGCCAAAGAAGCGGCACUGAAACAGCCCACCUUAUCAGUGGCAGACAUUCUUUUCAUAGAUAGUGAUGUGCUGUGUGAUGCACAGAUUCAUGCUCCUAAAACAGAAAUACAGAGUUGGAUCAAGAGAGGAGCAAUACAGCAAGGGAAAGUUUACUAUAUGAAUGACAAGCCUAUCCUACCAAAAAACUUAUACAAAACAGCUGCCUUAGUGAGCCAUGGAAAUACUCAUGUCUCAACAGGAGGGAUGGUACAUAUUAUCCAGCAAUACUUUUACGCUAUAAAUUUUUCUGAUUAUGCAAAGCAAUUUUGUAGAACAUGCUUAAUUUGCUGUAAACAUAAUGCACAGGGUAACAUGAGACCAAAACGUGGCCAGUUCCCUGUAGCUGAGUACCCGUUUCAAGUUGUACAUAUGGAUUUUAUUGAAUUAUCUUGGUCACAAGGGAAGAAGUACUGUCUAGUCAUUAUAGACACCUUUUCUAAGUGGGUAGAAAUAUACCCUGUAAAGCACUGUGAUGCAAUGACUGUUGCAAAAUGUUUGGUAGGCCAUUAUUUCCCUACUUAUGGCAUACCUCAUAUUAUAAGAUCAGACAAUGGGACUCAUUUUGUAAAUCAGACCAUGUCCCUUUGUUCACAAGCAUUAGGUUUUACGCUUAAGAAUCAUUGUGCUUAUCACCCUCAGAGUGCAGGCUUAGUGGAGAGAACUAACGGCACUAUUAAAACAAGGCUCAGAAAAACAAUGGAAGAGACAAAAAGGCCGUGGCCAGAAUGUUUGUCUCUAGUAAAAUUGUGGAUGAGAAUAACUCCCAUUCCUGCAGGAUUAACACCUUUUGAGAUAGUGUACGGAAGGCCGUUUCCCCUAGCAACCAAAAUGAGUGAUAUAGGGAAAGCGGACAGAGAAAAUACAUUGGCUAAUUGGAUGCGAAAGUUGCUAUCAUCACAACAAAAACAUAGCCCCAGUAGUCUGCCAGUAAAUUCUGUUUCUAACCAACAGGAUAACUUGCAGCCAGGAGAUUGGAUCCUGGUCAAGGUCCUGUUGCGGAAGGAGUGGAGCACACCCCGGUGGGACGGACCUUAUCAAGUCCUCCUCACAACACCAACAGCUGUGAAAAUAGCAGAACGACCUUCCUGGAUACACAAAAGUCACUGUAAACCCAUCAAGCCCUUAUCAGAGGCCUCAGCGACAGAGUAGCAGUGGAAGUCCGCUACAAAGGCACAGUAACCAAUAGGGUGCUGCUGUCUCAACCCGGUGAAGAAAACAACUGAGCUGCACUCUAUUAGGAUGGCUCUGACGGGGUGGGGAUGUGGUAAGGUGACUCUAGGGGUCAUUCUUGUUGUUGGACUUGUAUGGUUGUCCUUGCUCCCACUAGCUCCAUUGCAGCACCUACGGCGAUGGACCCAUGACGACUUCCAUCUGCGCCCGUUGCCUGCUGACCACUCACACCCGUUCAUGAAGAACUACUGGUAUCGAUAUGUACAUGACACUGUAACAGCAAAAAAUGUGACUUACAAAAAGUGAUGACCAUGGACAGUCAACCGCAGUCCUCCUGGCUGGACUGGUUUGUUACAGGAAUUUGGUGGUCCAUACUGAUGAAAAUGUGCCUACCUUUUGUUUUGUUUUUUAUUUUGUUUUUCUGUUGUUUUAUAACUGUUAUACCAUGUUUGAAAAUGUUUAUUAAUCAAGCUCUUAAUGCUGCUUUUCGGACACACAGUACAAUGCUUCUCUCCCUUACUCAGAAUAUGGAGACAGAGCCUGUUUCCAGCGAUAGCGAUGAAGAAGACAUGUAAUUCAUAAUGACGGCUGAGCUGAAAGCACCCGUGCAGGGCUCGGACCUGAAGUAAUGGAAUUAGAUGUUUUUCUAUGAUAAACAGGAGGAACGACUCCUGAUGGUUUUCUGUACUCCACAGUUAGGAUGAUGAUGAUGUGAUCUAAAUGACGGUUGUACUGGAAAUGCUUUUGCAACUUGUACAAUAUUGAUGUUUCUGAUCAUACUGUCAUGAUAAACAGGAGGGACUGUUAGGUUGAAGAAACUGUUAUUAAUCAUUUUGUUAUCACUCCUGUAUGAUCAGCAAUGAAUGUAAAUAUGUAUAUACAUUAUUUUGUUUUCCCCUAGCCUCAUACUUUAGAUUAUAUUAAUAAUAGCAUUCCCACCUUAGCAAAACCAGAACUUUCUCUCACCUCCCUAUUCUGCAUGACUCUUGCGCCUCCCACUGACUAUAAAUAAAGGAGUCAAGGGGAACCACCCUUUGUAACACAUUCUGCUGUAGUUUGCAUUGCAGAGAGUGUGGGUACCCUUGCAAGUAAAAACUAUAAAGUGUGUGUCUCGUAAAUGUGGAGUUGGGGUGGAAACGCCGGGCGCUUUCCCCAACAUAGAAUUUGGUCCUUCGAGCCGGAUCCGAGGAACCCCGAAGACGUCUCCAGUACGCCGAGAGAAGCGACACCGAAGUCUGUCGACAGCCACUCGAAGUCGGGUGCAAGAAAGACCUGUGAUGUGAAUUCGUCAUCAGGCCGGUGGUUAGAACUGCGCUCGACGUCUGGUGAUGUCUGAAGGACCUCGGUGAUGGAACAGAGAGCACACUACAUAGGUGAGAAACACGGCACCUAAGUGAAUAGGUGGCCAAGUGAGACAUACGGCACCUAAAUAAGUAGGUGGCCAAGACAUGCAUGUGGUUGAGGUUAGCCGAAAUUAACCGGGAGAGAAAGUAGGCGUUGUUGGAAAUAUAUACAGUGUUCUAUGUGGAUGUGUUUUUAUAGGUUUUAGACUAACCUACACGAUCCACCCUAAAAGCAACAACAUACUGGUGACUGAAGGAUAAAGGACGGGUUUCAUCCCUGAAAACUAACACCGCUGCUCUAAUAGGGAGCAGUAGAAGGCCGUGUUGGUGUCCUCCUGAGGUCUCAUGCCAGGGACUUGCUUUUAGGAUUUUUUAUGUUUUGUAGUGUAUUCAAUAAAAGGUAACAAUGGGAAAAAUCAGAGUAAACAAAUCAAACUAGAGGGAGAUGAGAAGUUUAUGGAAGGAUAUAAACCAGGAUCAGGACAAAUAAGUAGUCAGAGAUGGAGGAAAAAACAUGGGUUUGAAGGAAAACUCCAUACUCCAGACAUAUUAAAGUUACAGGGAAACUUAAAACUGGAGAUGUUACAGACUACCAAUAAGAAAAAAGGCCAAGAUAGAAAAAAGGAAUACGUUUUCUCUGAUGCAUGGUUAGAACAGAGUAAACUAAGAGAUAAUAAGAGACAACAGAAAAAGGGAAAUAAGGAGAAAAAACUGCAGGUGGCUUUAAUCACACUAGACGAAGAAACGGCAGCAAGACCUUCUGCCCCUCCAGCUCCUCCACCGCCCCCACAAAUUCCGGUGCCUGCACCGGCGCUGGUUCCAGCCACAGAUAGACAAGAAGCAAGGGGGGGGGUGGAACCAUCUCGCAUGUUAACUCGAGGGUCUGAUCCCUCUCUAUAUCCUGUAAAAGAUUUGGCCACAGCUAAAGUACAACGGCAUCCAAAAAAUAACACGGAACAAGAGGAGGUAGAAUGGCAGUGUCCCCUCGUAGAAGUGGCAAACCCAAAUCGAGGGCCAAAUAAUGCAGGACCCGAAACUAUGUUAGUAUAUAGACCCUGGACCGCUGAGGAUAGAACAGCGGCUUUAAAAGGAAUACCCCCGGUUGAAGAAGGGGUACCCGAGUUUUGGACUGCCAUCCUAGAAUUACAAAGUAGUUUUCAUUUGAACGGCAGGGAAAUGUACCGAUGCCUAAGACAGUUGUUUACCCAUAAAUGGGGACGUGUGGCAGGCGACUUCACUGGACAUGGUGCCAAUAAUCAGCCCUUAGCACAUAACUCGCAGGAACUCAUACAAGCAUUACAACACCUGCGAGAGAGGAUAGACACAGUCUUCGUGAGACGUGCAGAUUAUGGGCGAAUAGCGCAGUGCAAACAAAAAGAUGGAGAGGAACCUGAGGAUUUUAUGGAUAGGAUGCGAGUGGUGUUCAGGGGAAAUUCAGGAAUUCCUCACGACGAGGAAGACGGAGGAGUGUAUCAGCAACAAUUAAAACGAGCUUUUUUUUUCGCAGGCCUAAAGUCUGAAUUGCGAAAAUAUCUCGACAAACAUUGGGUACAUCAGAAUACUGGCUCAGUCCAACAAGCCUUAGAAUAUGCCCAACACGCACAGAAAGCGCAGAAACAGCAAAAGACAGAUACAAUAUUCAGCGCCUCUGACGUGGUAGCGCUAGUGCAAACGAACCCUCGGGGACGCGGGGGAUUCAGAGGUAGAGGAAGAGGAAGAUUUAGAGGCCGAGGAAGAUUUAGAAAUAAACAAACAGGAGGGUUUUCUCAGGAAACAGAGUGUUGGACAUGCGGGAAACCUGGACACUUAAGCAGGGACUGCAGGUCAGGGAAGCGACCAUUUAAUCCAAACUCCACCGAAAAUGACCAAUGACCCUCCUCGGAGACCCCUGUUGCCGACACUAUCCGAGGUGAAACAGAGGUCAUUUUAAGGGAAGAAACGGAGGUUACCUUACAAGACCUCCUCAAUGAGGAAAUAGAUUUGCAAGCAGUAUGUCAGCUAUUAGCAGAAAGGCAGUGGGGAACUUUGCCAAGUCGGAAAUUAAUCAUAAAUGGCAAAGUAUACGAAUGCCUGUGUGAUACUGGAGCCUGUAGGACUGUCCUAACCUCCAGUCCUCCUGAAGUCACAUACUCCUCAUCUGUCAUAAAUAUAAAAACAGCAGGAGGCCAAACAGACAGUCAUCAGCUAACAAACCCAGUUGCAGUAAAAGAUAAGGAAACUGGGAUUGAAUGUCAAGCACAAGUGUUAAUAAGCCCUUCUUGCCCUGUCAAUCUGUUAGGCCAUGACCUUAUGGUACAGAUGGGCAUUAGUGUAGUUGCCACAAACUCUGGCAUGAAAGCAAUCAUAAAUGAGGAAGCCUAUGUUGUGCAAGGAACCGGAGCACCAGACGUGCCCAACCCACACUUAUUGCUCAACUCAUUAACCCCUGAUAAAAGUUACUUCUCAGUAGUUGAUCUCAGUAAUGCAUUUUUCUCAGUACCAUUGCACCCUGAUUCUCAACAUUUAUUUGGUUUCACCUAUAAGGGAAAAAAAUACACAUAUACUAGACUCCCUCAAGGGUUUUCAGAAAGUCCACAUGUAUAUACCAUGGCCCUUAGAUACUCUAUGAGUACCUGUAAAAUACCAUCCCAUAGUCAAGUGCUACUGUAUGUAGAUGAUAUAUUAAUUGCUUCAGAUACAAAACAGCAUUGUAAGGAAGCCACACUGUUGGUGUUACAGCAUUUAUAUGAUACAGGACAUAAAGCAUCAAAACAAAAAUUACAAUAUUGCAGGGAGGAAGUUAUAUAUCUUGGACAUAAACUCUCCCAACAAGGUCGAUCGUUGUUAGAAACUAGAAAACAGGCAAUACAAGAGGCACCAAAGCCAAAGACUAAACAGCAAAUGAUGUCCUUCUUAGGACUUUGUAAUUAUUGCAGAGAAUGGCUACCUGAUUAUGCCGCACUCGUUCAACCUCUGCAAACCUUAAUUUAUGGGAAAGACAUGGCCUUAAAAGAUAAAAUUCAGUGGACAAAAGAAGGAGAAUUGGCAUUCACAAACUUAAAAAUGAUGCUACAAACAAAUGUGAUACUUGCCUUACCAGAUUAUCAACAACCAUUUACCUUAUGUGUUGAUGCUAAUCAAGGUUAUAUGAAAGCGGUAUUAACACAGCCGUUCGGGACAAAGGAAAGACCACUAGCAUUCUAUUCUAAACGAUUAGAUGCAGUAGCAGCUGGUUUUCCACAAUGUUUGCAAGCAUGUGCAGCUGCUGCAGAAGCAGUAAAAUUAUCAGCAGAAUUAGUGUUGUGUCACCCACUCACCUUGAAGGUGCCACAUUCAGUUUCAUUAGUUUUACUGCAGACACCGCUUCCGUUCCUCACACAUGCUAGACAUCUGACCUUAGUCUCACUCCUGCUUUCACAGUCAAACAUUACUAUACAGCGAUGUGGUCCUCUUAACCCUAGCACCCUUCUUCCGACAACGGAAGAUGGAGAACCACAUUCGUGCAAAGCAGUUGUGGAAGAGCAAACAAAACCCAGAGCAGAUAUUUUACAGACCCCAAUAUCAGAUUCAAUGGUUGUUUAUGUAGAUGGAUCAGCAUCAAAAAAUGAUAUGGAAAAAAAUAAGGUCGGGUAUGCUGUAGUACAUCUACUGAAGUCUUAGAGGCCAAUGCACUCCCACCUGCUUGUUCAGCACAAGCGGCUGAACUCUAUGCUGUAAUUAGGGCAUGCGAGCUAUUCAAAAAUAAGUCACUUACUAUAUACACUGAUAGUCAAUAUGUGUUUGGAGCUGUUCAUCACCAUGCAAGAGUGUGGAAAAAUAGAGGUUUUAAAACAUCGCAGGGAACGUCUCUAACUCACACAAACUUACUACUUAGAUUAUUAGAUGUUGUACUAUUACCGACUCGCCUUGCACUGUGCAAAUGUAAAGCACACCAAACCGAUGCUUCCACAAUAGCUAAAGGAAACAACUUUGCAGAUAAAACUGCCAAAGAAGCGGCACUGAAACAGCCCACCUUAUCAGUGGCAGACAUUCUUUUCAUAGAUAGUGAUGUGCUGUGUGAUGCACAGAUUCAUGCUCCUAAAACAGAAAUACAGAGUUGGAUCAAGAGAGGAGCAAUACAGCAAGGGAAAGUUUACUAUAUGAAUGACAAGCCUAUCCUACCAAAAAACUUAUACAAAACAGCUGCCUUAGUGAGCCAUGGAAAUACUCAUGUCUCAACAGGAGGGAUGGUACAUAUUAUCCAGCAAUACUUUUACGCUAUAAAUUUUUCUGAUUAUGCAAAGCAAUUUUGUAGAACAUGCUUAAUUUGCUGUAAACAUAAUGCACAGGGUAACAUGAGACCAAAACGUGGCCAGUUCCCUGUAGCUGAGUACCCGUUUCAAGUUGUACAUAUGGAUUUUAUUGAAUUAUCUUGGUCACAAGGGAAGAAGUACUGUCUAGUCAUUAUAGACACCUUUUCUAAGUGGGUAGAAAUAUACCCUGUAAAGCACUGUGAUGCAAUGACUGUUGCAAAAUGUUUGGUAGGCCAUUAUUUCCCUACUUAUGGCAUACCUCAUAUUAUAAGAUCAGACAAUGGGACUCAUUUUGUAAAUCAGACCAUGUCCCUUUGUUCACAAGCAUUAGGUUUUACGCUUAAGAAUCAUUGUGCUUAUCACCCUCAGAGUGCAGGCUUAGUGGAGAGAACUAACGGCACUAUUAAAACAAGGCUCAGAAAAACAAUGGAAGAGACAAAAAGGCCGUGGCCAGAAUGUUUGUCUCUAGUAAAAUUGUGGAUGAGAAUAACUCCCAUUCCUGCAGGAUUAACACCUUUUGAGAUAGUGUACGGAAGGCCGUUUCCCCUAGCAACCAAAAUGAGUGAUAUAGGGAAAGCGGACAGAGAAAAUACAUUGGCUAAUUGGAUGCGAAAGUUGCUAUCAUCACAACAAAAACAUAGCCCCAGUAGUCUGCCAGUAAAUUCUGUUUCUAACCAACAGGAUAACUUGCAGCCAGGAGAUUGGAUCCUGGUCAAGGUCCUGUUGCGGAAGGAGUGGAGCACACCCCGGUGGGACGGACCUUAUCAAGUCCUCCUCACAACACCAACAGCUGUGAAAAUAGCAGAACGACCUUCCUGGAUACACAAAAGUCACUGUAAACCCAUCAAGCCCUUAUCAGAGGCCUCAGCGACAGAGUAGCAGUGGAAGUCCGCUACAAAGGCACAGUAACCAAUAGGGUGCUGCUGUCUCAACCCGGUGAAGAAAACAACUGAGCUGCACUCUAUUAGGAUGGCUCUGACGGGGUGGGGAUGUGGUAAGGUGACUCUAGGGGUCAUUCUUGUUGUUGGACUUGUAUGGUUGUCCUUGCUCCCACUAGCUCCAUUGCAGCACCUACGGCGAUGGACCCAUGACGACUUCCAUCUGCGCCCGUUGCCUGCUGACCACUCACACCCGUUCAUGAAGAACUACUGGUAUCGAUAUGUACAUGACACUGUAACAGCAAAAAAUGUGACUUACAAAAAGUGAUGACCAUGGACAGUCAACCGCAGUCCUCCUGGCUGGACUGGUUUGUUACAGGAAUUUGGUGGUCCAUACUGAUGAAAAUGUGCCUACCUUUUGUUUUGUUUUUUAUUUUGUUUUUCUGUUGUUUUAUAACUGUUAUACCAUGUUUGAAAAUGUUUAUUAAUCAAGCUCUUAAUGCUGCUUUUCGGACACACAGUACAAUGCUUCUCUCCCUUACUCAGAAUAUGGAGACAGAGCCUGUUUCCAGCGAUAGCGAUGAAGAAGACAUGUAAUUCAUAAUGACGGCUGAGCUGAAAGCACCCGUGCAGGGCUCGGACCUGAAGUAAUGGAAUUAGAUGUUUUUCUAUGAUAAACAGGAGGAACGACUCCUGAUGGUUUUCUGUACUCCACAGUUAGGAUGAUGAUGAUGUGAUCUAAAUGACGGUUGUACUGGAAAUGCUUUUGCAACUUGUACAAUAUUGAUGUUUCUGAUCAUACUGUCAUGAUAAACAGGAGGGACUGUUAGGUUGAAGAAACUGUUAUUAAUCAUUUUGUUAUCACUCCUGUAUGAUCAGCAAUGAAUGUAAAUAUGUAUAUACAUUAUUUUGUUUUCCCCUAGCCUCAUACUUUAGAGUAUAUUAAUAAUAGCAUUCCCACCUUAGCAAAACCAGAACUUUCUCUCACCUCCCUAUUCUGCAUGACUCUUGCGCCUCCCACUGACUAUAAAUAAAGGAGUCAAGGGGAACCACCCUUUGUAACACAUUCUGCUGUAGUUUGCAUUGCAGAGAGUGUGGGUACCCUUGCAAGUAAAAACUAUAAA